Long non-coding RNA from Nelumbo nucifera (sacred lotus), 646 nucleotides. RefSeq lists it as uncharacterized. Lineage: Eukaryota; Viridiplantae; Streptophyta; Magnoliopsida; Proteales; Nelumbonaceae. The record is from RefSeq and is a predicted model, not a curated record.
CUUGGAGUCUUGGACCACUCUUCCCCUUCUCGAACAAGUCUAUCCCCUGUUUCGAUGGAUGAUUUUUGGUUCAUACAUUUUUUUCUUUAAAAAGACUUUUGCAGUGAAGCGAUCAAGCUCAAUUUUUUUCUGUUAGUAUCUCUUUACUAAUCUCACCAUGCAGGUUCUUGUUUUGAUUGUGCGUCUAGCUUAUGGGCUCAUGGCUUUUGGAUUCGAGUCUUCAUUUCCACGUCCAUUACUGUCAAUUCAGAAUAUGUACAAGGAUCUUGAAGUGUUGGAGGGAUUGUCUUGUGGAUGGAGAGAUUGUCUUGUGGAUGGAAAGAUGUGUUUAUGAUAGGAUUGGUGGCUUCCAGAGAAAUGUAACCAUGGACUUGUAACUGAUUUUUUGCUUCCCCGUUCCUUUUAUGGAUACAUCUUGGUUAGGGUGUUUGAUAACUAGUAAUUUUCUAGAAAAGUUGGACUCGCCUAUAGUUAUUAGUGUUUUAAAUAAAUUAUCCGUUUAGUAUGGCGUUUCUGUCUGUUGUUCUCUACCUUGCAUUAUUAGUGUUGGAUUCAUGUAGUCGACCCGUAUAGUUGGGAUAAGGCAUGGAUGAUGAUGAUGAUCUGAUGGAAUAAAUGAUAACAUUUGUGGAUUGUUAAAAUGUGA